This 423-nucleotide ribosomal RNA is filed under the name uncultured Glomeromycotina. RNAcentral's name for it is "SSU rRNA". It matches the Rfam family "Eukaryotic small subunit ribosomal RNA", at positions 671 to 1092 of the family's 1831-position model. Lineage: Eukaryota; Fungi; Glomeromycota. The record is from RNAcentral.
CGGUACGUACUGGCAUUGUUGGUUUCUCCCUUCUGACGAACCAUGAUGUCAUUUAUUUGGUGUUGUGGGGAAUCAGGACUGUUACUCUGAAAAAAUUAGAGUGUUUAAAGCAGGCUCACGCUUGAAUACAUUAGCAUGGAAUAAUGAAAUAGGACGUUUGAUUCUAUUUUGUUGGUUUCUAGGAUCGACGUAAUGAUUAAUAGGGAUAGUUGGGGGCAUUAGUAUUCAAUUGUCAGAGGUGAAAUUCUUGGAUUUAUUGAAGACUAACUACUGCGAAAGCAUUUGCCAAGGAUGUUUUCAUUAAUCAAGAACGAAAGUUAGGGGAUCAAAGACGAUCAGAUACCGUCGUAGUCUUAACCAUAAACUAUGCCGACUAAGGAUCGGAUGAUGUUAAUUUUUUAAUGACUCAUUCGGCGCCUUACG